Molecule: non-coding RNA, 2694 nt
Organism: Phasianus colchicus (ring-necked pheasant)
Lineage: Eukaryota; Metazoa; Chordata; Aves; Galliformes; Phasianidae
Source: RefSeq, a predicted model, not a curated record
AGCCUGUCCUCAUGGGGGAGGUGCUCCAGUCCCCUGAUCAUCUUUGUGGCCCUCCUCUGGACCCUCUCCAACAGCAUCCCUGUCUUACCCCAUCAUUGGCAUCUUGUUUCUUCUGCAAAUAACAAUUACCUCAUGUUUCUGCUUAAUGUGAGCUGGACUUGGGUAGCUUUACCCAACUUAGAAAGAUUUUUCAGGAAUUAUAGGUGUGUGGCUGCUCCACUCCUCACUGAUACAUUAAAUCUUCACAGUGGGUUUUCUGCUGAGUUGAGAACUCUCACUAUGUUACUUUUGGUAAUACAAGUGCCAAAGCUGACUUACGCUUGCCAUAUGGUAAGCUGGCCUCUUCUCUACUGUAAUUCACAUGCUCUCACAGGAGAGAAAUCUUUGAUAAUUCCAGCUGGUCUCCCCACCACUCCAGCUCUAGUGCUAACUUUCCUGGAGGUAUCACAGGGAGCCUAGAUUUCUUCUUUAGCAGCUGGUAUCACCACAUUUUACCUGAACAGAUCUCAUUCAGUGAAUGAACCGCUGGUUGUAGUAAAGCUAGAUCAGUGUUGUGCAUCCUUGGUUAGGAUAUGCCUCUCAAAUCUUUGGUGCCUCUAAACACAGGGUAAAACUUGACAGUCCAAACAGUUUGGUUUUGGCUUUGAUGUAGAACCAGAAGAUUUCUUUCUGCAGUGUUUCCUUGCAUUGCUUAUACUUGGAUUUUUUUUUUUAGCUAAUAUGCAGAUGUUUAUUUUUUUUUGUUGGUACAGAACACUGUGUACUUCUGUGAGAGACUGUAACAAUAUUCCAAGGGGGAACUAUGAGGAAAGGGAAAGCAAAUGAAAAUAAAAAUGUUUUUAAUUUGAUUGAAAGACAUCAAAUCUUUUGAUUUGAAGGUUUUGCUUGUGCAAAGAAAGCAAAGGCUCUGCAGCAAAUCUCUACCUAAUAGUUCAGCUUCAAAGUACAACCUGGUGCCAGAACAGAGCUUCAUGAAGCUUCCCACUGGUUCCUUCCAGGAUCCCCUAGGUUAGAGAAAGUAGGACUACUUCAAUACCCUCUGCUAUGAGAACUAGUAAAUAUUUUAUUAAUUCAGUGAGCAGAAUUAAAUUUUGUGGCAUAAUACAUUUGCAUUGCUAAAUACUACUUUUUACCAGUCUUUGGUGCUGACUGCCCUCUGCCAGAGUAGUCCCUAUAUGCAACUGGAUUGAAACCAGACUUUCAUAGCUCACCUAGAUUUCUUCAAAAGAUUUCUGUCCUUGUAGAGUGCUGGUUGGUCUUGGUUGUUAAUUCUAACCAUGACAGUUCCUUCACUAACUUCAUGGUAUUGCCAUCAGGAUGUUAGAAAGUCAUUUUGCUCUUGUCUUUUCUCAUUUAAAACAAAGGACCGUAUUUCUUUUCUUUCUUUUUCUCAGUAAAGAACUCUGGAGAAUACGUCUGAUAAAACUAAUAGCAUUUGCUGUUUAAACAGUUAUUGUUAAUCUAUUUUUUUAAAAUGUCAUAUGUUAGCAUAAUGCAUUUUCAGACAAAACAAUAAGUAUGUUGUAUAUUUAUCUUGUACUGUGUGAGAAGCUUUUUGUGGAAUAUGCAUAAAUGCAUUUGUAUCUGCAUGGUUGUCAAUGCCAUAUGUUGAAGAUACCAUAUUCCUCCAAGGAUAUAGAUGCUAACAGUCAGUAGGUGGAUCUGGUGUGCUUAGAAAAAUCAAGGAUCAGGAUGCAUUGGUUUCACGUUGGCUUUGCUUAUUACAUAUAACCUAUAUGGAAAUGUAUGUAAGUGGUUCUUUUUCAAUUGACGCUGGACCCUUUGAACCCAUUGCAAGUUUGUGUUGCUGACACCACUAAUCAUAGCAGACAACAGUGGCAGUCAGGUGUUUUAUCUACAGUUUUAAUGAUGUGACUAUGUGUUGCAAUUCAUGCAUGUAAUGUCUGUGCUAUGUCAGGAGUGGAAUGUUUUAUAAAUAUGCAUAUGGAGUGUGUAUUGUCUUCAGUGGUGUCUGGAAUUUCAUUCAGGACAACUUUACAAACAAAAAUAUUGUCUCAGUGCAGUUCAAUUAGCAUUGUCAAGUUAAAUGAUGUAAAUUACCCCAAAUAUUGGGAUAAUGAAAAUUCCAGUAAACACUGAAUACAGACGUAAGUGAAGGAGAAAUAAAUAUAACAUCUGAGAUAUUCACUGCACAGACACAGUGGUUUUCUAAGAGGAGGUUUAACUGAAGGGGAAAAAAAGAAAAACUGAACUUACCUGUGUGAUGUCUCUUCAUAGCUUUUUUCAUAGUGUUUUUCCAUCUCUAAAGCUGCCAAUCACACUCCGAGUUAAAAUUUAAGCAUGUGGCAUAUCUUUUAAAGGACAGUAUUUUUUUAAUCGUUAUCUUUACAUUUCUGGUACAAAUCUGAUCAACUUUAUAUUUCUCAAGCUCUAACAGUUUAUAAUCCUUUAUAGCUCCAAGAGGACUCAAAAGCACAAUAUCCAGUAACGUAAAAAGUUGAAACUAUAUUUAAAUUGGACACGUAAGAUCUUUUAUAUUCUAUCAAAGCUCUGUGACUUGGAAAGCUUUUAGCACCCUUCUUUGUAUUUCCUGUGCUUAGACAGAUUACAGGGAGGAAAAAAUUCCAUUGUCAUUUAUGUACCCCUGCAACAACAUUAAUGGAAAUAUGGUGUCUAAGCAUUAGAUCAUUUAGUCUACUUCAAUAAACCAUCUUAUUUUUUGUGGCCAUUGUA